UUGGUUAGUUGGGGCUAGCGGCAGUUGGGACCGCAAGGUGUCAGACCCAGGUGUCAGACCCACAGUGGUCCGGCCCGAACCUUGGUGAGGUAGGGGCGGGUCACGUGUGAUAGGUCGGGCGGGAGAGUGACAGGCCGGUUGCACCUGUCAGCCCGUCCGAGAGGUCUGCGGGGUGCCGGGGGAGUCUAGGCCCCGGCAGUUGCGAGAGUUGGCUCAACCACACGCCACGACAUUACCCCAUACUACUGAAGGUGCCAGGCAGCGUAGCUGCCACCGUGUGUGUAACGCACCAGCUAUUGUCAAGCUGUCGAACCCCAAUCUCCAACAGGUCAUGAGCCCCGUGCCGCGGUAACGCGCGCGGUCGGCAGCUACUAGCUAGGUAGGGUGGACGACCCAUCGGGGGUCCUUAAGUUCCCGCCGCUCGCGGAGGGCAUAGCUAACUACUUUAAGUGGUACCAACACCUCUACGACUUCCUAGCCACCCGUAAGCCUCCCCUAGCAGCCUAUCUCAGCGACCCCGCGCCUCCGCACCGCACGCCCCGCGAGCAUGCGGACGAGUCCGCGGCAGCCAUGGGCUGGAUGCGCAUGUCCUGCAGUCCGGACGUUGCGCGCGCCCUCUGCCACUACGGAGACGCCAGCUACGCGCUUCAGUACGUCCAGCAGCUGUUCUGUAUCACAGCACCCCACAAGCUGUCGGUGCUCGACACCGAGCGCGGCAACUUCCGCAUGCUGGAGGGUGAGUCCGUGUCGGCGUACUUUGGCCGCGCCUACUGCCUGCGGGAUCAGAUCCUGGGCUUGGGCAGCGCCGGGUCGGACAACGACAUUAUCCUGCGCCUGCUGCGCGGGCUGCCCCAGCUCGACUUCAAGAUCCCCAUUGAGAUCUGCAACGCGCAGCCGCCGCAGUCCCUCGCACCGCUCCGCGGCUACCUCAUGCAGCACGAGCUGCUGCGGCCUGGCGAUCAGGACUCCGGCGGCCACGUGGGCAGCGUCAACCGCGCCCCCGGCGGCGGCGGCGGCGCUGGUGGCAGCGGCGGCGGUGGCAUCAUUUGCCACUACUGCUCGCUGCCCGGGCACAUCAAGCCCAACUGCCCCGUGCGCCGCGCCGACGAGAGCGCGGGCAUCUACCGCCCCAACGUCCGCUCGCCCCCGCAGCGCCAGCAGCAGCAGCAGCGCCAGCAGCAGCAGCAGCGGCAGCAGCAGCAGCAGCAGAAGCAGCGGUUCGGCGGUGGCGGCGGCCGUGGCGCCAGCAGUGGCGCCGGCGGCGGCCGCGGCGGCGGCGGCGGUGGCGGCCACAGGCGAGGUAAGCGGGGUUCGGCGGAGGUUCUGGUGCCGGCGGUGGCGCCGGCACCGCCGCCUCUAGGUCCGCGCAUGUGCUGAUGGUGCGGGUGUGUGACUGCUGGGCCGACCUGUAUGCCGGCAGCAGUUUGAUCCUGCACCCCGUUGACGCUGAGUCGGCUGGCUCCAGCGCCAACAGCGGCUACAGCCUGGCCGGCGGCACGGCCAGCAGCAGCUCCGCGGGUGGGAUCCGCGGUAGCAGCAGUAGCAUCAGCAGCAGCUGCAGCAGCCUGGCCCUCCGUGGCCUCAGCAGCAGCAGCAGCUACAGCUGCAGCGCCGCGCCGUCUCAGACGGGCGCGAGCAGCAGCCUGCUGUCCUUUCCCCACCGCGCGGUUGUCCUGGACCACGCCAGCGGUGGAAGCAGCAGCAGCGCAGGUGCCGGUGGCUCCCGCAGCAGCCGUGGCGACGCCGGGCUUGCGAGCUCCGGCGGCCACGUGUUCGUCGUCCGCGACAUGAGCGGAGACAACAUGCUGGGUCCCAACGUCGGCGGCAGUAGCAGCAGUGUGGUGUCAGCCAGUGCUGGUGGCGGCAGCUCCAGGAGCGCCCCGCAUAACCCUCAUCGUCUCCACCAACACAACGCUUCCAGUCUCCUCCCCUUUCCCCACCCUCUUCUUUUCCAGUCCCCUUCUUUGCCUAGUGCCCACCUCCCUUCUAGUCCCCCUCCCGUUUCCCCACCCACCUCCCUUCUAGGUCCCUCCCCUUCCCUGCCCUCCUCCUUUCUCCCCUUCUCGCCCCUUCCCUGCCCGCCUCCCUUCUACUCCCGCUCCCACCUCGGCGUACUUGGCCUCAUCGAACUCGCCGCCGUUGGCCGCCAUGGACUGCAGCAGCGGGAUCAGCUCGUGACCAUACGGCGACAGAGCGCCGUAGGGGUGCUGCGGGGGGUGAGGGCGUGGGCGGCAGGGCGGGGGCGGCGGAUGCAGGGGUUGGCUGGAGUGAGCUGCCUAUGUAGGUGCACGGGGUCAGGGGAGCAGGGCUGGUGGGACCGGCAUGAGAAGCGGAAGAAGUGGGGGACAAAGGGCACGGCAUGGCGUGGGCAUGAGGGAAUGCACUGCCACGCACCUGCCGCGCAUCUGGCAAGUACAAACUUUCGGCGUGAAAUACGGUACCGCAGCACACGCACUUCACGGCGAUGGGCAUUCCAUCACGGGUUCACGUGAGACUUCGCAGACCGUGCCCUCCGCGUUGGCACCCCCGAAGCCCUCGCACACCUGGUAGAAGGGGCAGGAGGGCUCGGGGAAGAACUCGGGCGCGGCGGCGCUCAUGCCCUUGCUGGCCAGGAGCUCGUUCAUCUUGGGAACAUCGUAGAUCCCUGCAGGCCACCCGGUGGUCAUGGCAGGCGGUGAGGUGGAGAGGUGGGUGAGCGCGCGAGCAAAAAGGAUACAGACUUGCAGACCGCCGGCCGCUGGCCCCUGGCCACUGCGUGGCGUUGCUCCUCCCAUGACAGAACACCAAGUGGCCAACCGCCGCGAGCUUAGCAUCCUAAGUUGCCCCCACCCCACACACACACCACGGGCACGGGGCACCACCAGCAAGAGCAAGAGCAACAACAACAACAACACAACUUCUGGCCGACCGGCCAGCACGCUCACAGUGCAGGGGCAUGGUGGCGAUGUCUGCGAGCAGGCCGCCCAGCACCGCGGCCUUGGCGCGCUCCCGCACCGCGGCAUCAGUGGCAACAGUCUUGGCGGGCGCGACGACUGGCGCGGCGCUCAUGGCAACGGUCUGCGAGCAAAUUGUCCGUGAUGGGAAAUGGGAUGUAGUAGUAGGGGUUGAUGAGUAGGCGGUGCAUAGGAGUUCGGGGAGAGGGUGGCGGAGCGGGGCCGGGCGUUGGUCGCGGUGGGUGGCGGUGGGCCACACGACACACGAGCCAACUCAACUGGGUCUUUUGUUUAUAUGCACUCUCUACAUAUAAGCAUCAUCAAGUUAAGGUUGAUGUUGCAAUCUGUCGGGCCUUUGCGUUGCAGGCGCGACGCAUCCACUGAACGAUCCUCGCACCAAUGUUGAAUUCAUCGCAAUGCUUUGCAAAGGAAUGCUUGCAUGUCUCACCCGAGCAGCAGUGCGUCCACGGGAUACAGAGGCUGCGGGGCGGGCGAGGGCAGAACGGAGAGCCAUGCUCUUGGUCAGAGCGUCGUAACGUAAAGCUGUGAUGGCGUAAGAAGCUGUCAAACAGCAAAUUCUAUCUCGCAAUUCUAGACAAAUGCAACCUCAUACAAGCGUAAACCGGCACGCCGUACAGGUCAGCAGCCAGCGGCCGUGACACCUGGUUGCACUUACCCACUGGACCCUUGUCCCUAUGCAAAUAAAUCGGCUGGGUCACAUUUGCCACGUACAAGGCUGGGACCGAAGCACGAAAGGGCCAUACGGUAGUGGGAGGAUAGGAAUGAGGGUGCCCGCUUGCCCGCGGUGCGCCUCCCAUCGUGUGACACGGGAGCUGCUGAGCCGCAGCGCCAAGGCCGCAGCGCCAAGGCCGGCCUGCAGGCUGCAGUUCCCUGUGGGCCACAUUAUGCGCUACCUGAAGAAGGGCAAUACGCCGAGCGCAUCGGUGCCGGCGCGCCCGUGUACCUGGCCGCCGUGCUGGGGUACUUGACCGCUGAGGUGCUGGAGCUCGCCGGCAACGCCGCCCCCGACAACAAGAAGAACCGCAUUGUGCCUCGCCACAUCCAGCUGGCCAUCCGCAACGACGAGGAGCUGGGCAAGCUGCUGGGCGAGGUGACCAUCGCCGCAUCGCGUCGGGCGGUGUGCUGCCGACCAAGGGCGGCAAGCGCAGCGCGGAGGCCGCCUGAAGCGCUGGUCCUCGUACCAUAUAUUCAAUCGCUUGCCAUACUUGGUGUUACUCAACACCACCCUAUGCCAUUCACCGCGGAUUUACAGUGGCUUCACUCACUGCACACGCCUGAUCCUCAUGCCAUACACAUUCCCACCCCUGCUGCAUGCGCAACUCCACGUUCCGCAUCAUCCUCCGAGCCGGCAUCACGUCUAUGAUAUAGCGGUAAUCAUCCACCAAUUGUUUCUGCCAACCUGCGAAACCUGUACUGUACAGUAUUGCUAUAACUGCGCGACCUGCUUCAAGUGCUCAACACAAUAUGAUGCAUCCUGCACGCAUGAAAUGAAUGGUCGCCAGGUGAACACCGUGCCUGCUCCAGCAUCCUGCACUUGAUCACUGCGUGCGCAGCCACACGUGACCCAAAUCACGUCGCCGGCACCUACCUAACCCAUGCCUAGCCACACCGCUCAACCGUUCUAGCGUUUACCGUUACGCUACAUGCGCGGGCCGGCCGCCAUUGCAGCAAUGAGAUCUGACGCCCCCGUGGCCGUGCGCGCCGCCGCUGCGGUGCAGGCUACCGGGUCCAGCGAGUAGAGCUCCAGCAUCCCUCGCGGCUCCAUCAGCUUCCGAACGACCCCGGCGAUCGCCCCGACCAGCAGGGCUGCGUUGUUGCGGCACAGGACAUGGGUGGGCUCGUCGCCAGCAUGGCUGGCAGCUUCCUGCGCCUCCCUAAGCUCCCACAGUCGGCGGAGGCCCCACCGUGUCACCGCGUCCACCGGGUCAGCGGGUGGGACGCGCGCCAGCGCCGCCGCUACCUCCGCCUUCACCGCCUCCCCGACCACAGCCACCGCCAAAGCCUCCAGUGGGGCCGGUGCAGCUCCGGCUGGCUGGACAUGUUGUCCUCGCGGCACGUCCGGCACAACGACCAGCUGCAGCGCCGCCGAUUCUGCAGCUGCAGAAUGGCGCUGUGUGUUUGCGUAGGCCCCGCCGCCGCCGCCGUCGCUUGUGGGUGCGCCAGCGGCUGCCUCACCGCCGCCUGUCGACUGCUGCCUUUGGCCUGCCGCUGGCUCGUGCUGCUUCCGCUCCGCCGCCUGAUGCUGCGGCUCCGUCUUCUGCUGCUGCUGCUGUUGCUGCCUUUCCGCCUGGCGCUGCAGCUGGUGCGGCUGCGCUGCAUGCUGCUGCUGCUGCUGCUGCUGGGCCUGCUGCGCUUGCCACUCCGCCUGCGGCUGCUCCUGCUGCCGCGCUACCUGUUUGUCCUCGUGCUGCGCGCGUUGCAGCUUCACAAGAUCGGCCAGCGUCAUCAGCUCGUCUGCGUCAUCUUCUUCCUCCUGCUGCUCAUCUUCAUCCGCCUCCACCUCCUCCUCCUCGUCCUGCUCCUCCUCAUCCUGCUCCUCCUCCGUCUCCACCUCGCCCACCGCCCCGCUGUCCUCGCAUCCCGCGUUGCUUGCCCCGGCCACCUCCUCGGCCUCGGCCUGCGGCACCACCGCUGCCGCUGCAGGUGGGGCCGGUGCGGGAGGCGGCGGCAGCACGAAGGCCGGCGGCAGGGAAAUGACGCCUGCUCGGGCGCACACAUUGCGCGCCCGCUCCAGCAGCUGCACCAGCUGCGCCGCCGCCUUGUAGCGCACCUCGUAUCCCGCAGGCGCUUCGUCCCUGUUGCGCGUUGGGGAUGAAGUGGUGACCCUGGUGCAGCUAUCGCAAGUCCUCAGUGCAAACCGGUGUUAACUUUAACAAACAUUGCCUUAUCAAUGCCGGCGCCCAGGUCCAAUGCCGGCAGCACGACUCACCACAGCAGCUCAGAGCGGGCCUGCACAGCGCUCAGCAGUGCGGACGCGGCGGCAGAAGCAGCAUCGCCAAACUGGUCAACCAGCUUCUCGACCUCGGCCAGGAGCAUGUCUGUGGAGAAGGAGUGCCAAGUAAAGCCGGGGUUCAGGGUGAGAGCGUGGUACAUGCGCGACAGCGCUGAAAGAGCUAUGGCCAAGCUUGACGCCCUGGUGACUGACUGGCAGCGUUCAUGCUGCGCGACGUGCCCAGUGUCUCGCACUGAUGGCGUGUGCUUUACUCACUUGCGGCCGCCGGCAGCAUGAUCCGUGCAAGCCGCUCGACCGCCGACGUCAUGUGGUCCCGCAUCUGUAAGCCGGCAUCGGCAAGCACGGGGUAAGUGCUGCUUGUUCGCCGGAACACCGCUGUCGUGCCGACGCACGCGUUGGCAGGACGCCUCGCUGCACUGCUACCUCCACCCCCAAUCUACCCCUAUGGCACGCACCCGCUUGUAGGAGCCUGGCCCGCGCUCGCUGGCGGCGGCCUGGUAGGCGCCCUGGAGCGAGGUCCGUACGUGCGGCUCCACCACGUCCUGGCUCAGCGCCUUGCUGGUCUCCACCAGGCCCGAGUGCAGCGCCUCCAGCGCCUGCGCCAGCUGCCGCUCCUGGUCGCGCCGGACCUGUGCGUGCACAGGCGGGAGGGCGCAGGUAGGCAGGUGUGCAGGCAUGAGCAAGUGAGAGGGUGGGUGAGAGUGCGCGUGCAGCAGCAACGACAUCGCGACGUCUUGUACGGUGAUGGCUACCCCAGGGCGCCUCGGGGCCACGCAUCGUGCAUGCACACAUGUACCGGCGGCAGACUGGCCCACCACGCACCAGCCCAACGCACCUGGCGGUACAGUUCGUCCAGCCGGCCCGCCUCGGCCGGCAGCAGCUCGUCGCCGCCCGGCAGCGGCGCCACCUGCGCCUCCAGCUCGUGUCGCGCGCCCCUCACGAAGUCGUCCAGCUCCGCAAGCAGACGCUCCCGCAUGGACCUGCAGGCGAUUCGUGUGUGUGUGUGUGUGUGUGUGUGUGUGUGUGUGUGUGUUAAAGAGCACAAGGCAAACGUUGCGCAAAGACAGUGUAUGCGAUGCAGCAAAGCGACGUGUGUGUGUGUGUGUGUGUGCCGGCGGCAGGCAUGGUGUUGACACCGACGGGCAACCUUUUCCCUAGACCUAGACUCGGUACUAGCAUAUUUGGCACAUGACACCGUGCAGCCUGCGCCUGCCCCGCCCUGCCUCUUCCGACAUGCGCAGGCCGAUAACGCUGCCGCCAGUGCCGUGACCACCACCGUGCCACCUACUUGGUGAGCUCCGAUUGGAAGAGCCGCGCCCAGGUGACAGCGAUGCGGUCCAUGAUGGGGCGCACGAGCGCGCCGUUCCAGUUGAUGGGGCCCACCGUGGGGCUGGUGUAAGAGCCGUCGCGGUGAACCACACCCUGCAGGCGAGAGGCCGAUGGCCCCAAAGCGCCAGAGCGCGGCUGUGUGAGCGCCCAUGCCAGAGAAACCACAAUUCCCGCCAGACNNNNNNNNNNNNNNNNNNNNNNNNNNNNNNNNNNNNNNNNNNNNNNNNNNNNNNNNNNNNNNNNNNNNNNNNNNNNNNNNNNNNNNNNNNNNNNNNNNNNUGCUUGCAGGAAGUGCGCUUAAGUGACACCGCCACGGUUUUGAACAGCCGGCCGACACGCACACCACUAGCACACACGCACACCACACGCACACGCACACACACACCACCCCCACCACUACCCCCACCCCCACCAACGGUGGCCGCACCUGCAUGUACGGCACGGGCUCGUAGGUCAGCUCUGCAGGGGUACGUCGAACAGGGCGUGGGGGUUAGCGAGCCCACGUGCUGGUUUGGCAACAAAGCAAAGCAGCAUGCGCCUCUCGCGAGUCCACAGCCACCAUCGCUCGGGUUCAUCACAGCCGCCAAGCUCCCAUCACUCUUGACACGCCCAUGCCUUCGGCUCCGUCCGGCCUCUUCACCCCAACCCCCAAACUCCCAAACUCCCAAACCCGAAACCCCCACCACCCGGCCCCCGCCCCGGCCGGCCUCACCACGCAGGGGGGUGCUGCGGCUGGCCACCGCGCGCUCCACCAGCGCCCUGAUCUCGGCGGGCAGGGCGCCCUCGCUCGCGGCCCAGGCCAGAGCCUCCUCAAUGGUGUGGCCCUGUGAGGCGGGGCAGGCGGGGCAGGGGGGGGCGGGGCAGGGCGUUACACUCAUGGGGUGUGUGUGUGGAGAAAUGGUGAGCGGGAGCGUGUACGGGUGUGGAGUGGAGGCAGGUGUGCAGGUGGCGGUGCAGAGCGUGAGUGGGCAUCGGUCACGGGUGGCAUGGCGAAAGUGAUACCAUAUGGGUGUGGCGAAGUAGCAGCAUGGCAAAAUGCGAAAGAACACCUUGGCCACGCCUUUGCUGCCACACGCCGCAAACCUCCGCCUCCCGCCCCGCCCCACCCCGCCCCACCCCACCCCGCCCCGCCCCGCCCCACCCCGCCCCACCCCAAACUCACCAGCACCACCUUCUCCAGCAGCAGUGCGCCUGCCAGGCCGUACGCCACCGCCUGGUCGUUGUCCUGCUGCACACGCACCGCCGCCUCCACCACCUGGCGCAGCUCGGGCUUGCCGGCGUAGCGCGCCACCAGCAGCGAGGCCUGCGGGGUGGAGGAGGAGGUUGUAUUCACGAAUGGCUAAGGAAGUGGUGGACGGUAGAUAAUCUUGGGGACCAGCAAUUGUUAUCGGUGCGGGGGUGGGGGUGUCGUGAGGAGUCGGCGAGGUAUCAGGGAGGGGCAUGCGCAGCGCGAAGGCGAGCUGGAGAUGGCUUUGCUGGUUGGGCGUGCAAGGCGCAAUGCAGAUGCUGGUUGGGCGUGCAAGGCGCAAUGCCGAUGCAGAACGGGUCAAGUGCAGGCCGCGCGGCGUGCACCCACCUUGGCGAAGCAGUUGGCCUGUGCGGCGUUGGGGAGGAAGGGGUGGGGGAGGGGAGGGAUGGAGCUGUGAGGAGCGCUGCCUUCAGGUGCAUAACGGAUUGGAGACCUCUACACACACGACACGCACGCGCCCUUCUCCCGCAUGCCAGUACCCACCACUACCAUGGCAUCCCUCCCUAAGCCAAGCCACGGAUCCGCCCCCCUGGGUGACUCUCCCCUCCGAACCACCCAUGCACGCACACGCACACACACACACGCGCGCACGCAUAAUGUGCGCAUGCAUGGCAUCCCUCCCUAAGCCAAGCCACAGAGCCGCCCCUCUGGGUGACGCACCACUCCCAACCACCCAUACACGCGCGCACACACACACACACACACACACACACUCUCCCCCCCCACACACACACGCCCCGCCCCGCCCCGCCCCGCCCCGCCCCGCCCCGCCCCACCAAGCCACGGAUCUGCACCCCUGGGUGACUCACGUACACACACACGGUAUGCGAGGCAAUUUCAGGUAACAUCCGUAAACCGCCGCUUUGCUGCAUCGCAUACACUGUCUUUGCGCAACGUUUUCCUUGUGCUCUUUAACACAUACACACACACACGCCCCGCCCCGCCCCGCCCCACCUGGUAGUCGGUGUUGUGGCCCACCUCGCGGCCGCGCUUGCCCUCCUCCCAGUUGGUCACCAGCGCGCGAACCGAGUGGUUGCGGUAGGCGUUGGGCUCGGUGGCUGUGAAGUAGGUGUAGAAGGCCUGGCGGGGGUGGGGCCGAGGCCAACGUCAGCUCCAUCGUCAUCAGAAAGCCCAGGAGGCAGCCGUGCACGUUUCAGGUAUGUUGGUUAGUUGGGGCUAGCGGCAGUUGGGACCGCAAGGUGUCAGACCCAGGUGUCAGACCCACAGUGGUCCGGCCCGAACCUUGGUGAGGUAGGGGCGGGUCACGUGUGAUAGGUCGGGCGGGAGAGUGACAGGCCGGUUGCACCUGUCAGCCCGUCCGAGAGGUCUGCGGGGUGCCGGGGGAGUCUAGGCCCCGGCAGUUGCGAGAGUUGGCUCAACCACACGCCACGACAUUACCCCAUACUACUGAAGGUGCCAGGCAGCGUAGCUGCCACCGUGUGUGUAACGCACCAGCUAUUGUCAAGCUGUCGAACCCCAAUCUCCAACAGGUCAUGAGCCCCG
RNAcentral lists this long non-coding RNA (9988 nucleotides) under Chlamydomonas reinhardtii. RNAcentral describes it as "long non-coding RNA (CREI_LNC000514)". The record is from RNAcentral. Lineage: Eukaryota; Viridiplantae; Chlorophyta; Chlorophyceae; Chlamydomonadales; Chlamydomonadaceae.